CCUACUUCAAGAUUACUUUUCCAGUUUCCUAAGCCUCAUAUAUAGUUUUGUGGAUUGAUCAAGUGACAUUAUUUCAAAAUAUUUUCUUUGUUGAGGAAAUAUAAUUCUCUAACUCGGCUUCUGAUUUUCGGUUUCUUGAAGGCCGAGACUGGUAUAGCUGAACUUAUCGCUCUCGAGAUAUCUAAAAAGACAAAUACUCCAUUGGAAGAGGCCAGGAAAAAGAUUUGGCUCGUGGAUUCUAAGGGGCUGAUUGUCAGUUCUCGUAGAGAGUCUCUGCAGCAUUUCAAGAAGCCUUGGGCACACGAACACGAGCCAGUCAAGGAACUAUUAGCCGCUGUUAAGG
Molecule: long non-coding RNA, 343 nt
Organism: Salvia miltiorrhiza (redroot sage)
Lineage: Eukaryota; Viridiplantae; Streptophyta; Magnoliopsida; Lamiales; Lamiaceae
Exons: 3
Source: RefSeq, a predicted model, not a curated record